Molecule: unclassified non-coding RNA, 379 nt
Filed under: soil metagenome
Description: partial contains 5.8S ribosomal RNA, internal transcribed spacer 2, and large subunit ribosomal RNA
Rfam family: 5.8S ribosomal RNA (bases 1-120)
Source: RNAcentral
GAUGAAGAACGCAGCGAAAUGCGAUACGUAAUGUGAAUUGCAGAAUUCAGUGAAUCAUCGAAUCUUUGAACGCACAUUGCGCCCGCCAGUAUUCUGGCGGGCAUGCCUGUUCGAGCGUCAUUUCAACCCUCAAGCCCCAGCGGCCUGGUGUUGGGGACCGGCGACCUCGCCCGAGCCCGCCCUCCGGGGCGCGUGCCCGGUGCGUCCGCCGCCCCCGAAAUGAAUUGGCGGCCUCGUCGCGGCCUCCUCUGCGUAGUAGCACAACCUCGCAAGCGGGAGCGCGACGCGGCCACUGCCGUAAAACGCCCAACUUUUUUAGAGUUGACCUCGGAUCAGGUAGGAAUACCCGCUGAACUUAAGCAUAUCAAUAAGCGGAGGA